Molecule: ribosomal RNA, 271 nt
Filed under: uncultured soil bacterium
Lineage: Bacteria
Description: partial 16S ribosomal RNA
Rfam family: Bacterial small subunit ribosomal RNA
Source: RNAcentral
AGAAUCAACGCUGGCGGCGUGCCUAACACAUGCAAGUCGAACGCGAGAGUCCCGCAAGGGACAAUUGAGUGGCAAACGGGUGAGUAACACGUGGGUGACCUGCCUUCGAGUGGGGGAUAACGUCCCGAAAGGGACGCUAAUACCGCAUGACAUCCUACCUUUGGACAGGCGGAGAUCAAAGCCGGGGAUCGCAAGACCUGGCGCUUGGAGAGGGGCCCGCGUCUGAUUAGCUAGUUGGUGAGGUAACGGCUCACCAAGGCGACGAUCAGUA